UCCCMCCCCCCUAGAGGAGCCUGUUCUAUAAUCGAUAAUCCCCGCUACACCUCACCAUUUUUAGCCUUUCAGCCUGUAUACCUCCGUCGCAAGCUUACCAUGUGAACGUUACCAGUAAGCCCAAUGGCCCUCCCACCAACACGUCAGGUCAAGGUGCAGCUCAUGAAAUGGAAAGCAAUGGGCUACAAUUUCUAGCGUAGAACAAACGAAAAACUGUAUGAAACACAGUUAUGAAGGUGGAUUUAGUAGUAAAAAGAAAUCAGAGAGU
Molecule: ribosomal RNA, 268 nt
Filed under: Amietia sp. 4 TRL-2016
Lineage: Eukaryota; Metazoa; Chordata; Amphibia; Anura; Pyxicephalidae
Description: partial 12S ribosomal RNA
Source: RNAcentral